RNAcentral lists this ribosomal RNA (388 nucleotides) under uncultured bacterium. Its description in RNAcentral is "bacterial SSU rRNA". It matches the Rfam family "Bacterial small subunit ribosomal RNA", at positions 29 to 419 of the family's 1533-position model. The record is from RNAcentral.
AUUGAACGCUGGCGGCAUGCCUUACACAUGCAAGUCGAACGGCAGCACGGGAGUAAUCCUGGUGGCGAGUGGCGAACGGGUGAGUAAUACAUCGGAACGUGCCCAGUAGUGGGGGAUAGCCCGGCGAAAGCCGGAUUAAUACCGCAUACGACCUACGGGUGAAAGCGGGGGAUCGCAAGACCUCGCGCUAUCGGAGCGGCCGAUGUCAGAUUAGGUUGUUGGUGGGGUAAAGGCCACCAAGCCGACGAUCUGUAGCUGGUCUGAGAGGACGACCAGCCACACUGGGACUGAGACACGGCCCAGACUCCUACGGGAGGCAGCAGUGGGGAAUUUUGGACAAUGGGGGCAACCCUGAUCCAGCCAUGCCGCGUGCGGGAAGAAGGCCUGG